Molecule: long non-coding RNA, 469 nt
Organism: Saimiri boliviensis boliviensis (Bolivian squirrel monkey)
Lineage: Eukaryota; Metazoa; Chordata; Mammalia; Primates; Cebidae
Source: RefSeq, a predicted model, not a curated record
CCGCCCUGCCCCGUGGACCCUCUCGGCUGCCGCCUCCCCUCGCCCACCUCGAUGGCCACUGUUCGGGGGUGGGGAAAGGCCGGCCCGACGCGUGGACUGCGGGUCUCGCUGACUGCUUUAGGGUUAUCAACCAUCCUGAUCUGCCCAAGGCUGAGGUGUUUCCCAGGAUAUGAGACUUUUACUGCUAAAACCAGGAUAGUCCCAGACAAAGCAGCAUGACCGGUCACCCUACUUGCUGCCCUGAGACUGUCACCAUCCUUGAGGAUGAUAGUUCCCAAGGAGAAAGUGACCCAGUCAACAUCCAGCACCAUCAACAUGUGAUUUAUCCAACCCCAAUCCAGUCACCAGAUAAUAACAAAUGCAUCAGUCAAUUCUAGCAGAAUCAUCCAGCCAAACUUAUCUCAAAUUGCUUUUUUCCAUUGCAGUUUUUCUGUACAUUAAAAAAAAAAUUGCUGUUCUACAUAACUGU